GAGAUAUUGAUUAAAAUAAUUAAUGAUGUUUCAUAAAUAUAUUUUAAAUAGAAGAGGUUUCAAAUUUUAAAAUGUGACUUAUUAUUGAAGCUAAUGUAUUUGAGAGAAAUCUUUAUGUUUUCAUAUAUUAGAUUCUUUGUACAUGCUCUUAUUUAGAUACAAGUGAUUAUCCUAAUAAGGAAACUAAGAUAAAUAGGAAAAAAAUAAUAUAAUAGGAAAGAAUAAUCAAAU
Molecule: unclassified non-coding RNA, 231 nt
Filed under: Hevea brasiliensis (rubber tree)
Lineage: Eukaryota; Viridiplantae; Streptophyta; Magnoliopsida; Malpighiales; Euphorbiaceae
Source: RNAcentral